Mycena latifolia is the source of this 91-nucleotide non-coding RNA. NCBI's taxonomy places the organism in Eukaryota, Fungi, Basidiomycota, Agaricomycetes, Agaricales, Mycenaceae. The record is from the annotation of a GenBank genome assembly.
GGCCUGAUAGCACAACGGUUAGUGUGUCUACUUAAUUUUCAUCUGGUUGAAGCUUUAGCAGAAGGUCCCCGUUCGAUUCGGGGUCAGGUCA